UGUGAAGAUGCAGUGUACCCGCGGCAAGACGGAAAGACCCCGUGAACCUUUACUAUAGCUUGACACUGAACAUUGAGCCUUGAUGUGUAGGAUAGGUGGGAGGCUUUGAAGCGUGGACGCCAGUCUGCGUGGAGCCGACCUUGAAAUACCACCCUUUAAUGUUUGAUGUUCUAACGUGGAUCCGUAAUCCGGGUUGCGGACAGUGUCUGGUGGGUAGUUUGACUGGGGCGGUCUCCUCCUAAAGAGUAACGGAGGAGCACGAAGGUUGGCUAAUCCUGGUCGGACAUCAGGAGGUUAGUGCAAUGGCAUAAGCCAGCUUGACUGCGAGCGUGACGGCGCGAGCAGGUGCGAAAGCAGGUCAUAGUGAUCCGGUGGUUCUGAAUGGAAGGGCCAUCGCUCAACGGAUAAAAGGUACUCCGGGGAUAACAGGCUGAUACCGCCCAAGAGUUCAUAUCGACGGCGGUGUUUGGCACCUCGAUGUCGGCUCAUCACAUCCUGGGGCUGAAGUAGGUCCCAAGGGUAUGGCUGUUCGCCAUUUAAAGUGGUACGCGAGCUGGGUUUAGAACGUCGUGAGACAGUUCGGUCCCUAUCUGCCGUGGGCGCUGGAGAACUGAGGGGGGCUGCUCCUAGUACGAGAGGACCGGAGUGGACGCAUCACUGGUGUUCGGGUUGUCAUGCCAAUGGCACUGCCCGGUAGCUAAAUGCGGAAGAGAUAAGUGCUGAAAGCAUCUAAGCACGAAACUUGCCCCGAGAUGAGUUCUCCCUGAGACUUAGAGUCUCCUGAAGGAACGUUGAAGACGACGACGUUGAUAGGCCGGGUGUGUAAGCGCAGCGAUGCGUUGAGCUAACCGGUACUAAUGAACCGUGAGGCUUAACCUUACAACGCCGAAG
RNAcentral lists this ribosomal RNA (891 nucleotides) under Salmonella enterica. RNAcentral describes it as "partial 23S ribosomal RNA". It matches the Rfam family "Bacterial large subunit ribosomal RNA", at positions 2052 to 2925 of the family's 2925-position model. The record is from RNAcentral. Lineage: Bacteria; Pseudomonadati; Pseudomonadota; Gammaproteobacteria; Enterobacterales; Enterobacteriaceae.